Molecule: ribosomal RNA, 253 nt
Filed under: uncultured bacterium
Lineage: Bacteria
Description: partial 16S ribosomal RNA
Rfam family: Bacterial small subunit ribosomal RNA
Source: RNAcentral
UACGAAGGGGGCUAGCGUUGCUCGGAAUCACUGGGCGUAAAGGGCGCGUAGGCGGCCGAUCAAGUCAGGGGUGAAAGCCUGUGGCUCAACCACAGAAUUGCCUUUGAUACUGUUUGGCUAGAGACCGGAAGAGGUCAGUGGAACUGCGAGUGUAGAGGUGAAAUUCGUAGAUAUUCGCAAGAACACCAGUGGCGAAGGUGGCUGACUGGUCCGGUUCUGACGCUGAGGCGCGAAAGCGUGGGGAGCAAACAGG